AGUUGGGGGCAUCAGUAUUCUGAAGCGAGAGGUGAAAUUCUUGGACCUUCGGAAGACUAACAACUGCGAAAGCAUUUGCCUAGGAUGUUCUCUUUAAUCAAGAACGAAAGUUGGGGGAUCGAAGACGAUCAGAUACCGUCGUAGUCUCAACUAUAAACUAUGCCAGCUAGGGAUUGGUGGACGUUUAUUUACGACUCCAUCAGCACCUUAUGAGAAAUCAAAGCAUUUGGGUUCCGGGGGGAGUAUGGUCGCAAGGCUGAAACUUAAAGGAAUUGACGGGAGGGCACCACCAGGAGUGGAGCCUGUGGCUUAAUUUGACUCAACACGGGAAAACUUACCAGGUCCGGACAUAGUAAGGAUUGACAGAUUGAUAGCUCUUUCU
RNAcentral lists this ribosomal RNA (382 nucleotides) under uncultured marine eukaryote. RNAcentral's name for it is "SSU rRNA". It matches the Rfam family "Eukaryotic small subunit ribosomal RNA", at positions 880 to 1262 of the family's 1831-position model. The record is from RNAcentral.